RNAcentral lists this long non-coding RNA (3632 nucleotides) under Sus scrofa (pig). RNAcentral's name for it is "lncRNA (ENSSSCG00000058764.1)". The record is from RNAcentral. Lineage: Eukaryota; Metazoa; Chordata; Mammalia; Artiodactyla; Suidae.
UUUUUUUUUUUUUUUUUUUUUUUCCUUCACUGGCUCGACCAAUUGUUUUGGCUUCAAGUUAGAAGCAGCUCCAAUUAAAGAUAAUGGUUGUUUGGCUUGAAUGAAGCCUAAAAGCCAGGAUCCCUAAUGUAUGCUCUGAAACACUCAGAAACAAACAAGAUAGUCCUUAAGAUAUAUUUCAUAGAAGUUUGAGUUUCUCUGAAGAAGUUAAAGCUGGAUAAAACUAAACUAGUUAUCACAAUCAAGUUUCAAAUGUGAAAGCCUUAACUCUUAAGAAAAAGAAAUCCAACAGCAUCUUGAAAGCAAAUGGAAAUCUGAGCAAACACUUAGGGGAUCUGAUCAAUGCAGACAGAAAGCACCUCAGAAAAAUUCCGAAAGUUGGUCUCAACUGCCCUGACUUAGCCAUGUAUUUGAAGCAGUUUCAUUUGGUUUGUCUAAGUAGCUAUGUCCACAGAAGCACACUAUUUUUUACAUUUAUCCAAAGAGGAAACUCAGGUCUUUACUGAAGUCGAAAUUUGAAAAUGCACCAUCAGUGGCACUCAUACCAUUCCCAAGGAGAAAGAAAGACACAGGUGUGUGUUGGGGGGUGGGGGGGGUGUUUUAUGAGACAGACAACCAGAAGAACCAUGGUCCUAGGAAAAAACCUACUUUGAAAUUAAAAAAAUAUGACUGUUUAGUGUUUCACAGAUGUUUAUUUUUUCAAUCAAAUCUUUGCUUCCCUCCUCUCUGCCUUACAAUUUAAUCACACAUGCUAUUAAAUAGAAAAAAAUAUAAAUUCUGGGAAAUAAAAUAAUACACUGUGUAGAAGUGAUCACCUCUACCGUUUGAAAGCACCAACUAUUGUUAUUACAUGUGUAAGAAUCCUAAAAAAAAAACUUGCAUGUACAAUUCGGAGCCAUUUACUCUACAGCUUAUACAGAAGCUAUCACAGAAAUGAAAGCACUUUAUAGACACUAGACAGAAUUUAUAAAAAGUAUUAUUAAAGCAUGAUAACCUGGCAAUUCACUCUCCAAGGAGAAACCAAAACCAGCCAUGCAUGUAGAUUCUCGGGGCUAAAAAAAAAAGGUAAUAGUGAUCGUAAACAAUAAUCUUGUUAUUUAGAAGAAUAAAUCUUUCCGUAACUCAAAAAUCCUUCUACAGGGACUAUGAUUCUCUGAAAUGUUAGUACAUUCAGAGAUUGUGGGAGCAUGGCCCAGUCACCUAGCAUGAGCUUAACAAACCUCUGUUGAAAAAAUAAUUGGUGAAGAAAAAGAAGUCAGGGCACUUUUUAAAUUCUAAUUUUAGCCCUGGGUGAAGAACCAACAAACAGCGCCUGAAUUAAAUAUGUCCCUUUCAAAAUAUCAGUUUUAUAAACCUGCAAACUGUCAUAAUAAAACAUAGACUCUUCUUAAAAUUUCAACCCUUCUGGUCAGGGUUGAAGUCAGUCACAAAGGGACCAACCUAAAAAUAGACUGGUGAGUGACGAGAGGAUGGGAGCCUGCCUGCUCUGUCAGCUCCCCUUGCUAGAAGCGAAUGGAAAACUCAGAUGAUGUCUCCUCAUGUGUAGACAUUUCCCCUUAAGCAAAUAAAUGUAACAGCCAAAGCAUAGCUUUGGUAGCCUAAGGAACAGUGUAAGAAGCAUUUACAAAGUUGGUAAAUCAACUGCUUUGCCUAGGAAUGGAAAUGAGUAUGUUGCCUCUAAAAACAUAUUUGUAAAGUGAACAGUCAAAACCAUUUGCCCUUAAUUUUCUUCAUUACAUUCCUAACAACAACAGUUGCAUCAGAGCAAGAUUUUUGCUACUAUAUUCCCAGCUCAUUCCACACUGGGGUUGUUUCUACACAGUAAUAAAGCAUCUGGGUGAAAAAUGGAAAAGACACAACUCAUCAUCCAGCUGUUUUUAAAAUCCCAGCUGUUCAGUAAUAGGCAGAAAACAACCUAGGAUAAUAACCGCACAUAAUAGACCCACAUUGCAGGUGAUCACAGAAGCUUUCUUGGUAUGCACUGACAUGACCUGAUUUAUAAAAUGGGAAGACAUCUACCUAGAUCACACAAAAAAAGCUCUCCCUGAGAAAUCUAGGAUGGCAGAAGCCUUCCUGACCUGGGUUUUUGUUGAAGCAAAGGUGAGUGGGAGUGCCAAGCAUUUUACAAUAUCUAUCUCUGCAGUUGAAAAAAAAAAAAAAAAGCUACAGGCUUAAUAACUAAGGGGAAAGGCUGAAAGAAGAAACUAAAAACAAAAUCUUAGAACACUUUAUUUUGAACAGGCUUAUAUUUGGCUGGAACUUAUAUUAGAAUCUUCUAUUUCCCUUUCCAAAUUCUUUCAGGGGUACAGUAAAAUUUCAGAAAGUUGAAUGACUUUCUAAUCUCUCUUGCAAAGCUUAUAGCACAACUACAGCUUUUCAUAACAGAAACGGGAAAAAAAAAAAAAAAGUUCCCAGCUUGUCAUUUUCAGCUUAUUUUAGCAAUGACAGCGGGAUUUAUCCCAUGCUAGACUGAUCUCCAGCAGUGACACCAUGGACAAACAAACAAAGAAAAUAUCAGUAAUUCCUAAACAGAGCCUCUCCCAUCCAAAGAUUCAAUUCAGUCCCUUGAGUGAGUAAAUAUAACCUGGUGUCACAAGAAGAUUCACACCUUAAAAUACUGUAUGUUGCUUCAUCCUUAUCUGUCUAAUCUAACCCUUUCUUCACUGUUUCUCACACUGCCUUGCAGCCUGUGAAGUAUGUGGAUUCUAGUAGUGAAAUAACACCUCUUCUCUGUGGAUGAGCAGCAGCUAAAUCAGCAAGGAGCAUAUGACAGUAGCAAGGAGUUCUAAUUAUGUCGCUACACAGAUUUUAUGAUUUUUCCAUUCCUCUAAGAAUUGCACGCCAGCAAUAACCAACAUAAACACAUCAUUCAGCUCUGUGUUAGUGACAUUCACUCCUAUGGCUUCAACUGGUUGCUUAAUUCUGUCUUGAUUUUAAUACACUACUACAUUGACACUCUGUAUUAGAAUGAGGGGGUGAACUUGCUGUCUAGCACAGGGAAAUCUGCUUGUUGUUCUGUGAUAACCUAUAUGGGAAUGUCUGUGUGUCUAUGUAUGGCUGAAUCACUUUGCUGUACAGCGGAAAUUAACACACUGUAAAUAAAAUAUACUCCAGUGAAAUUAAUAAUAAAAAAAGAAUGAGGGGUGAGACAGGAGGAGGGAACUAUCCCCUGUGACAUACAAAUGCCCAUGUGGCAAUCUUCUAAGGAUGUGAAAGAAGCCCUUACUCUGAAGGUAAAGGUGAGUUCUACCCCUAACAAGACCUAUAGCUCUAAUUCUCAGCAACAGUUUUAUGGUUUUGAUUGUGAGUGCUGUCAAAACCUAAAAGCAAAAGGAAUUAGAGUAUUGGAACACAUAUAUACACAUGCCUACCAUUGGAACAUAAACAUACACAUGUCUACCAAGUCUGGUACCAAUACUAAGUGAUCAGUUCACUUUUCCUGGAUUUUCUGGGUUAACACAAAUUAGUAGUUAGCACUAGCAAAUAAAGCAGUUUUUAAACUGAGCUAACUACUUUUGCCAUCAAAUUCAUGACUCCCUUUAAGCAUAUAAUACUUUACCCCUUGCCACCCUCCCUUCCACUCACUUAGCCCCUCAUUUAGUUCUGAUCAUCCUUAUAUCCAGUUUCUACUG